Molecule: ribosomal RNA, 476 nt
Filed under: uncultured Planctomycetales bacterium
Lineage: Bacteria; Pseudomonadati; Planctomycetota; Planctomycetia; Planctomycetales
Description: bacterial SSU rRNA
Rfam family: Bacterial small subunit ribosomal RNA
Source: RNAcentral
UUCGCAAUGCCCGAAAGGGUGACGAAGCGACGCCGCGUGUGGGAAGAAGGCCUUCGGGUUGUAAACCACUGUCGGGAGUUAAGAAAUGCAAGAAUGUUAAUAGCGUUUUUGCUUGACUAAGGCUCCGGAGGAAGCCACGGCUAACUCUGUGCCAGCAGCCGCGGUAAUACAGAGGCGGCAAGCGUUGUUCGGAAUUAUUGGGCGUAAAGAGCACGUAGGCGGCUAUAUAAGUCGGUUGUGAAAGCCUUCCGCUCAACGGGAGAACAGCAUCCGAUACUGUAUGGCUUGAGUGUGGGAGGGGAGAGCGGAACUUCUGGUGGAGCGGUGAAAUGCGUAGAUAUCAGAAGGAACGCCGGCGGCGAAAGCGGCUCUCUGGCCCAUAACUGACGCUGAGUGUGCGAAAGCUAGGGGAGCAAACGGGAUUAGAUACCCCGGUAGUCCUAGCCGUAAACGAUGGGCACUAAGUAGAGGGGUUU